UAUCUCUGUAGAGUCUGCAUAUCAAUAAGCGGAGGAAAAGAAACUAACUAGGAUUCCCUCAGUAACGGCGAGUGAAGCGGGAAGAGCUCAAAUUUGAAAUCUUCAAGGUUCUACCUUGACGAAUUGUAGUUUAAAGAAGUGUUUUCUGUUGGAGUUUUGGUAAAAGUUCUUUGGAAUAGGACAUCAUAGAGGGUGAGAAUCCCGUAUUUGACCAUUAUUUCCAACUUUGUGAUACACUUUCAAAGAGUCGGAUUGUUUGGGAAUGCAGUCCAAAAUGGGUGGUAAAUUUCAUCUAAAGCUAAAUACUGGCGAGAGACCGAUAGCGAACAAGUACCGUGAGGGAAAGAUGAAAAGAACUUUGGAAAGAGAGUUAAACAGUACGUGAAAUUGUCAAAAGGGAAGCGUUUGACACCAGUGUUGUUUUCUCGAAAAUCAAUUAAAAAAGAUUGGAUUUUGUGUUGUAUUGACUUUAUCGGCUUUCAGCACUCAUUUUCUUGUCUUUUUUAAUGCACUUUUCGUUUAACAAGUCAACAUCAAUCUCUUUUGUUGUAAAAGGGUCAUUGGAAGGUGGCUUUCUCUUCGGAGAAAGUGUUUAUAGCCUUUGGCCUCUGCAAUCGGAGAGAUCGAGGUCUGCAGCGUAGAUCCUUCGGGGUUAGAUACAUUUGUGCUAAGUUAUAGCCUUUCAUAGACAACUUGUUGACUAUGAUCAGUCAUGUAGCUUACUCGCUUAUGUCAUUUUACCUACGCUUAGGAUGUUGAUCUCUCACAGUCGAGC
RNAcentral lists this ribosomal RNA (775 nucleotides) under uncultured Neocallimastigales. RNAcentral describes it as "partial large subunit ribosomal RNA". It matches the Rfam family "Eukaryotic large subunit ribosomal RNA", at positions 24 to 645 of the family's 3401-position model. Lineage: Eukaryota; Fungi; Neocallimastigomycota; Neocallimastigomycetes; Neocallimastigales. The record is from RNAcentral.